UACGAAGGGUCCUAGCGUUGUUCGGAAUCAUUGGGCGUAAAGCGAGUGCGGGUGGCUCUUUAAGUCAGAAGUGAAAGCCCAGGGCUCAACCCUGGAAGUGCUUUUGAUACUGGAGAGCUUGAAUGUGGCAGAGGGUGCUAGAAUACCUAGUGUAGUGGUGAAAUACGUAGAUAUUAGGUGGAACACCGGUGGCGAAGGCGGGCACCUGGGCCAACAUUGACACUGAGGCGCGAAAGCCAGGGGAGCAAACGGG
Molecule: ribosomal RNA, 253 nt
Filed under: uncultured bacterium
Lineage: Bacteria
Description: partial 16S ribosomal RNA
Rfam family: Bacterial small subunit ribosomal RNA
Source: RNAcentral